CAUCCUUGUUUAUUGGGAUUUGGU
Molecule: non-coding RNA, 24 nt
Filed under: Arabidopsis thaliana (thale cress)
Lineage: Eukaryota; Viridiplantae; Streptophyta; Magnoliopsida; Brassicales; Brassicaceae
Source: RNAcentral